Molecule: unclassified non-coding RNA, 253 nt
Filed under: uncultured Sporolactobacillaceae bacterium
Lineage: Bacteria; Bacillati; Bacillota; Bacilli; Caryophanales; Sporolactobacillaceae
Description: contains 16S-23S intergenic spacer region
Rfam family: Bacterial small subunit ribosomal RNA
Source: RNAcentral
UACGUAGGGGGCAAGCGUUGUCCGGCAUUAUUGGGCGUAAAGCGCGCGCAGGCGGUCUCUUAAGUCUGUUGUGAAAGCCCACGGCUCAACCGUGGAGGGUCAUUGGAAACUGGGAGACUUGAGUGUAGGAGAGGAAAGUGGAAUUCCACGUGUAGCGGUGAAAUGCGUAGAGAUGUGGAGGAACACCAGUGGCGAAGGCGACUGUCGGGCUUAUAACUGACGCUGAGGCGCGAAAGCGUGGGGAGCAAACAGG